UGUCCUACGGGAGGCAGCAGUGGGGAAUAUUGCACAAUGGGGGAAACCCUGAUGCAGCAACGCCGCGUGAGUGAAGAAGGUUUUCGGAUUGUAAAGCUCUGUUAGCAGGGAAGAGGAAGGACGGUACCUGCAGAGGAAGCCCCGGCUAACUACGUGCCAGCAGCCGCGGUAAUACGUAGGGGGCAAGCGUUAUCCGGAUUUACUGGGUGUAAAGGGAGCGUAGGCGGUGCAGUAAGUCAGAAGUGAAAGCCCGGGGCUCAACUCCGGGACUGCUUUUGAAACUGUUGAACUAGAUUGCAGGAGAG
RNAcentral lists this ribosomal RNA (305 nucleotides) under uncultured bacterium. RNAcentral describes it as "bacterial SSU rRNA". It matches the Rfam family "Bacterial small subunit ribosomal RNA", at positions 335 to 656 of the family's 1533-position model. The record is from RNAcentral.